RNAcentral lists this long non-coding RNA (825 nucleotides) under Crocodylus porosus (Australian saltwater crocodile). Its description in RNAcentral is "lncRNA (ENSCPRG00005009922.1)". Lineage: Eukaryota; Metazoa; Chordata; Crocodylia; Crocodylidae. The record is from RNAcentral.
UCACUGAUGCUUGAUAAUGUAGAGAAAUAGACUAGAUAUCAGAGAGUGAGGGUUUACAACUUUAACAGCUAUUUGUUUUCUUUACAGAUGGGAAGGUUGAAGUGACAAAAGAAGGUGUAAAGCUGUGCACCAUGGGACCUGGCAAAGUAUUUGGGGAGCUAGCCAUCCUUUACAAUUGCACCCGAACAGCAACUGUCAAAAAAUCACUUCCCAUUUCAUUGCACAAUAUGAAGAGAAGCAUGAUGUCAAUGUUUGUGACUCAAUAUAUUUGACUACCUUCACAACUCAAUCAAGAAGGACUUACGGAUUGACAGGCAUGUUUGGGCAGUUAUUGUUAUGUAAUGAAUGUAGCAUUAGACAUCACCCUAUUUUUUUUACCAUAGCACGACUAAAUUUCCUGGUCCUUGCUUGUGCUGCUCCAUCAGACCAUGCAUCAAUGCAAUGUUUAUGCUCAGUGAUAUUUUCUAUGAUAAAUUCAUUCAGUUUGUUAAAAUUCUGCCAUCUUGAUAGAGCUUAAUACCACAAGAACUCUUCUUUAAUGAUUAUUUUCCAUUUAAGCUUUAUGUACAUAAGUUACUGAGAAAAAAUGAUGAUGCCAUUUGCUCUGGACCCCUCUCUUCUAUCCUCAACUGCUCUGUGCUUAGAGGCAAGGCAUAUGACCCAUUCCACUAUAUGGGAGAUACAAAGAGGUCAUACCACUACUUUGUACAAACAGUUCCAGAAUGUGACAUUUCAGCAGUUUCAGCAUCAUGCUCUAACUCUCCUAGCCAAGGAAAACUAUUUCAUAUAGUAUGCAAAGGAUGAAUAAAACUGGAGCCAUGGACA